GGAAUAUUGGACAAUGGGGGGAACCCUGAUCCAGCCAUGCCGCGUGUGUGAAGAAGGCCUUUAGGUUGUAAAGCACUUUAAGCGAGGAGGAGGCUACUCUAGUUAAUACUUAGGGAUAGUGGACGUUACUCGCAGAAUCAGCACCGGCUAACUCUGUGCCAGCCGCCGCGGUCAUACACAGGGUGCAAGCGUUAAUCGGAUUUACUGGGCGUAAAGCGCGCGUAGGUGGCGAAUUAAGUCAAAUGUGAAAUCCCCGAGCUUAACUUGGGAAUUGCAUUCGAUACUGGUUGGCUAGAGUAUGGGAGAGGAUGGUAGAAUUCCAGGUGUAGCGGUGAAAUGCGUAGAGAUCUGGAGGAAUACCGAUGGCGAAGGCAGCCAUCUGGCCUAAUACUGACACUGAGGUGCGAAAGCAUGGGGAGCAAACA
RNAcentral lists this ribosomal RNA (425 nucleotides) under uncultured bacterium. Its description in RNAcentral is "bacterial SSU rRNA". It matches the Rfam family "Bacterial small subunit ribosomal RNA", at positions 358 to 774 of the family's 1533-position model. The record is from RNAcentral.